This 68-nucleotide transfer RNA is filed under the name Thaumalea sp. ZK-2019. Its description in RNAcentral is "tRNA-Trp". It matches the Rfam family "tRNA". From Rfam's summary of the family: Transfer RNA (tRNA) molecules are approximately 80 nucleotides in length. Their secondary structure includes four short double-helical elements and three loops (D, anti-codon, and T loops). The record is from RNAcentral. Lineage: Eukaryota; Metazoa; Arthropoda; Insecta; Diptera; Thaumaleidae.
AAAGCUUUAAGUUAAAUAAACUCAUAGCCUUCAAAGCUAUAAAUAUUAGAUCUAUCUUUUAAGCUUUA